UAUAUGAGUAUUUCUCAAAAAAAAUGUACAUUUUGAAAAAAAAAAGUGUGCUUUGAAACAGUUCAAAAGUUUCAUAUUUAUAAAUCAUCACACAAAAAAAACACACACACAAUUUUGAAGGAUGAAUAUUAAUCUUUAAGAUAACGAAGAAUUAUAGCUAUAAUCCUACUUAUUACCAAAUAUUUAGAUAUUUUAAAAAUAGUCCUUUUUUACCUUUCAUACAAAAACCUGUUUGCCACCCUAGCUUUUUCAUGUGUUUUUGUUUCAUAAAAUGCGAUACGUAACUAAAUUAUUGUAAAUUUCUUUGUAUUAUCGUUCUACAGUAAUCGCAGUUUCUGUAUCAAAUUGAUUUUCUAUGGGGUGAUAUAAUAAUUAGCAAUUUAAGCAAAAAAACAAAAUGAGUCGCUCUCAUUUACUAUUUCGUUAUUUACUCUUUAGUUACGAUUAUUUCUACUUUCCCAUGGUUUCUGAACAGUUCCAUAUUUUAUUUUACACGGACAACAAUAGCUGCACUCUGAAUGGCUGUUGGCCUGACGUCUCCGCCAUUACAUCUAUCGCAAAAAUCAGUGAAAACGUGUGUGUUUUGUGGGAUUACGUUUUCGUAACAGGAAGUAAAAUCAGCGAUUUUAUAUAGAACGGAAUGCCGCCAAAAACCAAUGCCGAAAGGCAAAAAGCUUACAGAGAACGACUCAAAAUGGAUAAACAUGAUGGAACAAAAAUAAUUUUAUUAAAAUUGUAUGAAUGAUUA
Long non-coding RNA from Ostrinia nubilalis (European corn borer), 748 nucleotides. RefSeq lists it as uncharacterized. The record is from RefSeq and is a predicted model, not a curated record. The transcript is spliced from 2 exons. Lineage: Eukaryota; Metazoa; Arthropoda; Insecta; Lepidoptera; Crambidae.